Molecule: ribosomal RNA, 497 nt
Filed under: uncultured bacterium
Lineage: Bacteria
Description: partial 16S ribosomal RNA
Rfam family: Bacterial small subunit ribosomal RNA
Source: RNAcentral
GAUGAACGCUGGCGGCGUGCCUAAUACAUGCAAGUCGAGCGAACAGACGAGGAGCUUGCCCCUCUGACGUUAGCGGCGGACGGGUGAGUAACACGUGGAUAACCUACCUAUAAGACUGGGAUAACUUCGGGAAACCGGAGCUAAUACCGGAUAAUAUAUUGAACUGCAUGGUUCAAUAGUGAAAGACGGUUUUGCUGUCACUUAUAGAUGGAUCCGCGCCGCAUUAGCUAGUUGGUAAGGUAACGGCUUACCAAGGCAACGAUGCGUAGCCGACCUGAGAGGGUGAUCGGCCACACUGGAACUGAGACACAGUCCAGACUCCUACGGGAGACAGCAGUAGGGAAUCUUCCGCAAUGGGCGAAAACCUGACGGAGCAACGCCGCGUGAGUGAUGAAGGUCUUCGGAUCGUAAAACUCUGUUAUUAGGGAAGAACAAAUGUGUAAGUAACUAUGCACGUCUUGACGGUACCUAAUCAGAAAGCCACGGCUAACUACGUG